GAUGAACGCUGGCGGCGUGCCUAAUACAUGCAAGUCGAGCGAACGGACGAGAAGCUUGCUUUUCUGAUGUUAGCGGCGGACGGGUGAGUAACACGUGGAUAACCUACCUAUAAGACUGGGAUAACUUCGGGAAACCGGAGCUAAUACCGGAUAAUAUUUUGAACCGCAUGGUUCAAACGUGAAAGACGGUCUUGCUGUCACUUAUAGACAGAUCCGCGCUGCAUUAGCUAGUUGGUAAGGUACCGUCUUACCAAGGCAACGAUGCAUAUCCGGCCUGAGAGAGUGAUCGGCCACACUGGAACUGAGACACGGUCCAGGCUCCUACGGGAGGCAGCAGUAGGGAAUCUUCCGCAAUGGGCGAAAGCCUGACGGAGCAACACCGCGUGAGUGAUGAAGGUCUUCGGAUCGUAAAGCUCUGUUAUUAGGGAAGAACAUAUGUGUAAGUAAAUGUGCACAUCUUGACGGUACCUAAUCAGAAAGCCACGGCUAACUACGUG
Molecule: ribosomal RNA, 497 nt
Filed under: uncultured bacterium
Lineage: Bacteria
Description: partial 16S ribosomal RNA
Rfam family: Bacterial small subunit ribosomal RNA
Source: RNAcentral